GCAACCAGAAAUAACUAAUGUAACCAGAAAUAUAUCCUACAAUAUUUCCUUAUAGGUUGCAUACAGGAUAAUCUUCAAAGAAGUAGAAUGACUGGGUCAGAGUUGUAAUGAGAAGACUGUAACCUCCACGAUGGCAGGGGUGUCCCCAAAAUCUAGAGCCCAGAGCCUGCUACUUGGGGAGAAAACUAUGAAGAAAUAAGAACUCCAGAAGACAAUCAGAUGGAAAGUUCUUCUUCCUGUGGAAAGAUCGUGUCUUCUCCUUCUUUGCUGUUUCUACAACAUUG
This 284-nucleotide long non-coding RNA is filed under the name Homo sapiens (human). Its description in RNAcentral is "HSALNT0144028". The record is from RNAcentral. Lineage: Eukaryota; Metazoa; Chordata; Mammalia; Primates; Hominidae.